RNAcentral lists this ribosomal RNA (431 nucleotides) under uncultured bacterium. Its description in RNAcentral is "partial 16S ribosomal RNA". It matches the Rfam family "Bacterial small subunit ribosomal RNA", at positions 29 to 505 of the family's 1533-position model. The record is from RNAcentral.
AGCGAACGCUGGCGGCAGGCCUAACACAUGCAAGUCGAACGAACCUUUCGGGGUUAGUGGCGGACGGGUGAGUAACACGUGGGAACGUGCCUUUAGGUUCGGAAUAACUCAGGGAAACUUGUGCUAAUACCGAAUGUGCCCUUCGGGGGAAAGAUUUAUCGCCUUUAGAGCGGCCGCGUCUGAUUAGCUAGUUGGUUGAGGUAAUGGCUCACCAAGGCGACGAUCAGUAGCUGGUCUGAGAGGAUGAUCAGCCACAUUGGGACUGAGACACGGCCCAAACUCCUACGGGAGGCAGCAGUGGGGAAUCUUGCGCAAUGGGCGAAAGCCUGACGCAGCCAUGCCGCGUGAAUGAUGAAGGUCUUAGGAUUGUAAAAUUCUUUCACCGGGGACGAUAAUGACGGUACCCGGAGAAGAAGCCCCGGCUAACUUCG